This 251-nucleotide unclassified non-coding RNA is filed under the name Glomeromycotina sp. RNAcentral describes it as "partial contains small subunit ribosomal RNA, internal transcribed spacer 1, and 5.8S ribosomal RNA". The stretch from base 1 to 47 matches the Rfam family "Eukaryotic small subunit ribosomal RNA", at positions 1785 to 1831 of the family's 1831-position model. The record is from RNAcentral. Lineage: Eukaryota; Fungi; Glomeromycota.
AAAGUCGUAACAAGGUCUCCGUAGGUGAACCUGCGGAGGGAUCAUCAAAGAAUUUCCAAAAACAAAGUGUUCCUCUCUUUCUCUCUUAUGAGAGUUGGUGGGAGUGAAUGCUUUCAAACAAACGAUCACAACUAUAAUAAUUAUAUGGGAAAUUGGAUUGGGAAAAACAAAAAGUGUUUGCCUGAUAAUUUGAUUGAUUGGAAAAAAAAGAGAGAAAAAUACAACUUUCAACAACGGAUCUCUUGGCUCUC